CCUACGGGUGGCUGCAGUCGAGAAUCAUUCACAAUGGGGGAAACCCUGAUGGUGCGACGCCGCGUGGGGGAAUGAAGGUCUUCGGAUUGUAAACCCCUGUCAUGUGGGAGCAAAUUAAAAAGAUAGUACCACAAGAGGAAGAGACGGCUAACUCUGUGCCAGCAGCCGCGGUAAUACGGGGGGUGCAAGCGUUGUCCGGAAUCAUUGGGCGUAAAGAGUUCGUAGGCGGCACGUAAAGUCUGGUGUUAAAGGCAGAGGCUCAACUUCUGUACGGCACUGGAUACUUGCGAGCUAGAAUGCGGUAGAGGUAAAGGGAAUUCCUGGUGUAGCGGUGAAAUGCUUAGAUAUCAGGAGGAACAUCGGUGGCGUAAGCGCUUUACUGGGCCGUAAUUGACGCUGAGGAACGAAAGCCAGGGUAGCAAAUGGGAUUAGAUACCCGUGUAGUC
This 446-nucleotide ribosomal RNA is filed under the name uncultured bacterium. RNAcentral's name for it is "partial 16S ribosomal RNA". It matches the Rfam family "Bacterial small subunit ribosomal RNA", at positions 338 to 795 of the family's 1533-position model. The record is from RNAcentral.